AUUGAACGCUGGCGGCAUGCUUUACACAUGCAAGUCGAACGGCAGCACGGGGGGAAACCUCUGGUGGCGAGUGGCGAACGGGUGAGUAACAUAUCGGAACGUAACUUGUAAUGGGGGAUAACGCAGCGAAAGUUGUGCUAAUACCGCAUACGUCCUGAGGGGGAAAGCGGGGGACCGGAGACGGCCUCGCGUUAUGAGGGCGGCCGAUAUCUGAUUAGCUAGUUGGUGGGGUAAAGGCCUACCAAGGCUACGAUCAGUAGCUGGUCUGAGAGGAUGAUCAGCCACACUGGGACUGAGACACGGCCCAGACUCCUACGGGAGGCAGCAGUGGGGAAUUUUGGACAAUGGGGGCAACCCUGAUCCAGCCAUGCCGCGUG
This 377-nucleotide ribosomal RNA is filed under the name uncultured bacterium. RNAcentral's name for it is "bacterial SSU rRNA". It matches the Rfam family "Bacterial small subunit ribosomal RNA", at positions 30 to 403 of the family's 1533-position model. The record is from RNAcentral.